Molecule: ribosomal RNA, 466 nt
Filed under: uncultured bacterium
Lineage: Bacteria
Description: partial 16S ribosomal RNA
Rfam family: Bacterial small subunit ribosomal RNA
Source: RNAcentral
GAUGAACGCUGGCGGCGUGCCUAACACAUGCAAGUCGAGCGAUCUCUUCGGAGAGAGCAGCGGACGGGUGAGUAACGCGUGGGUAACCUGCCCUGUACACACGGAUAACAUACCGAAAGGUAUACUAAUACGGGAUAACAUAUGAAAGUCGCAUGGCUUUUAUAUCAAAGCUCCGGCGGUACAGGAUGGACCCGCGUCUGAUUAGCUAGUUGGUAAGGUAAUGGCUUACCAAGGCAACGAUCAGUAGCCGACCUGAGAGGGUGAUCGGCCACACUGGAACUGAGACACGGUCCAGACUCCUACGGGAGGCAGCAGUGGGGAAUAUUGCACAAUGGGCGAAAGCCUGAUGCAGCAACGCCGCGUGAGCGAUGAAGGCCUUCGGGUCGUAAAGCUCUGUCCUCAAGGAAGAUAAUGACGGUACUUGAGGAGGAAGCCCCGGCUAACUACGUGCCAGCCGCCGCAGUAA